ACGCACGCUGGCGGCGUGCCUAAUACAUGCAAGUCGAACGCCUCUUUCCUCCCGAGUGCUUGCACUCAAUUGGAAAGAGGAGUGGCGGACGGGUGAGUAACACGUGGGUAACCUACCCAUCAGAGGGGGAUAACACUUGGAAACAGGUGCUAAUACCGCAUAACAGUUUAUGCCGCAUGGCAUAAGAGUGAAAGGCGCUUUCGGGUGUCGUUGAUGGAUGGACCCGCGGUGCAUUAGCUAGUUGGUGAGGUAACGGCUCACCAAGGCCACGAUGCAUAGCCGACCUGAGAGGGUGAUCGGCCACACUGGGACUGAGACACGGCCCAGACUCCUACGGGAGGCAGCAGUAGGGAAUCUUCGGCAAUGGACGAAAGUCUGACCGAGCAACGCCGCGUGAGUGAAGAAGGUUUUCGGAUCGUAAAACUCUGUUGUUAGAGAAGAACAAGGACGUUAGUAACUGAACGUCCCCUGACGGUAUCUAACCAGAAAGCCACGGCUAACUACGUG
This 507-nucleotide ribosomal RNA is filed under the name uncultured bacterium. RNAcentral's name for it is "partial 16S ribosomal RNA". It matches the Rfam family "Bacterial small subunit ribosomal RNA", at positions 29 to 507 of the family's 1533-position model. The record is from RNAcentral.